CCAUACGACCGUACCGCAAACCGACACUGGUGCGCGAGAUGAGUAUUCUAAGGCGCUUGAGAGAACUCAGGAGAAGGAACUCGGCAAAUUGACACCGUAACUUCGGAAGAAGGUGUGCCCUAUUAGUGUGUAGUGAACAACGAAGCAUGAAUGGGUUGCAAAAAAUCGGUGGCUGCGACUGUUUAUUAAAAACACAGCACUCUGCAAACACGAAAGUGGACGUAUAGGGUGUGACGCCUGCCCGGUGCUGGAAGAUUAAAUGAUGGGGUGCAAGCUCUUGAUUGAAGUCCCAGUAAACGGCGGCCGUAACAAUAACGGUCCUAAGGUAGCGAAAUUCCUUGUCGGGUAAGUUCCGACCUGCACGAAUGGCGUAACGAUGGCCACACUGUCUCCUCCUGAGACUCAGCGAAGUUGAAAUGUUUGUGAUGAUGCAAUCUCCCCGCGGAAAGACGGAAAGACCCCAUGAACCUUUACUGUAGCUUUGUAUUGGACUUUGAACAGAUCUGUGUAGGAUAGGUGGGAGGCUUUGAAGCAGGGUCGCUAGAUCUUGUGGAGCCAGCGUUGAAAUACCACCCUGGUGUGUUUGAGGUUCUAACCUAGGUCCAUUAUCUGGAUCGGGGACAGUGCAUGGUAGGCAGUUUGACUGGGGCGGUCUCCUCCCAAAGCGUAACGGAGGAGUUCGAAGGUACGCUAGUUACGGUCGGACAUCGUGACGAUAGUGCAAUGGCAUAAGCGUGCUUAACUGCGAGACUGACAAGUCGAGCAGAUGCGAAAGCAGGACAUAGUGAUCCGGUGGUUCUGUAUGGAAGGGCCAUCGCUCAACGGAUAAAAGGUACUCUGGAUAACAGGCUGAUACCGCCCAAGAGUUCAUAUCGACGGCGGUGUUUGGCACCUCGAUGUCGGCUCAUCUCAUCCUGGGGCUGUAGCCGGUCCCAAGGGUAUGGCUGUUCGCCAUUUAAAGAGGUACGUGAGCUGGGUUUAAAACGUCGUGAGACAGUUUGGUCCCUAUCUUCCGUGGGCGCUGCAGAUUUGAGGAAGCCUGCUCCUAGUACGAGAGGACCGGAGUGGACACACCUCUGGUGUAUCGGUUGUCACGCCAGUGGCAUUGCCGAGUAGCUAAGUGUGGAAGAGAUAACCGCUGAAAGCAUCUAAGCGGGAAACUCGUUUCAAGAUGAGAUCUGCCGGGGCCUUGAGCCCCCUAAAGAGUCGUUCAAGACCAGGACGUUGAUAGGUCAGGUGUGGAAGC
RNAcentral lists this ribosomal RNA (1246 nucleotides) under metagenome. Its description in RNAcentral is "bacterial LSU rRNA". It matches the Rfam family "Bacterial large subunit ribosomal RNA", at positions 1634 to 2874 of the family's 2925-position model. The record is from RNAcentral.